UUAGGGUAUUGUGGGAAAAGCUGGACCAUCUGGACUUCCUGGGAUUCCUGGACCUCCGGGUCUUCCAGGGAGUAUGGGGCAACCUGGAUUGAAAGGUGAUAAGGGUGAACAAGGCAUUACAGGAGAGCAAGGAGAGGUGGGGUAUCCAGGAGACAAGGGUGCUGUUGGUUUGCCAGGGCUUCCAGGAAAUCGAGGAAAACCAGGACCCUCGGGGAAAAUGGGAGAUCCAGGACCUCAGGGACCAUCAGGCCCACCUGGACCAGAGG
This is a non-coding RNA of Thamnophis sirtalis, 266 nucleotides long. NCBI's taxonomy places the organism in Eukaryota, Metazoa, Chordata, Lepidosauria, Squamata, Natricidae. The record is from RefSeq and is a predicted model, not a curated record.